Molecule: ribosomal RNA, 449 nt
Filed under: uncultured bacterium
Lineage: Bacteria
Description: partial 16S ribosomal RNA
Rfam family: Bacterial small subunit ribosomal RNA
Source: RNAcentral
AACGAACGCUGGCGGCAUGCCUAAUACAUGCAAGUCGAACGAUCACUUCGGUGAUAGUGGCGCACGGGUGUGUAACGCGUGGGAAUCUGCCCUUGGGUUCGGAAUAACAGCUGGAAACGGCUGCUAAUACCGGAUGAUGACGUAAGUCCAAAGAUUUAUCGCCCAGGGAUGAGCCCGCGUAGGAUUAGGUAGUUGGUGGGGUAAAGGCCUACCAAGCCUACGAUCCUUAGCUGGUCUGAGAGGAUGAUCAGCCACACUGGGACUGAGACACGGCCCAGACUCCUACGGGAGGCAGCAGUAGGGAAUAUUGGACAAUGGGGGCAACCCUGAUCCAGCAAUGCCGCGUGAGUGAUGAAGGCCUUAGGGUUGUAAAGCUCUUUUACCCGGGAUGAUAAUGACAGUACCGGGAGAAUAAGCCCCGGCUAACUCCGUGCCAGCCGCCGCAGUAA